CUUGUGCAGUGUGGUAUAUGGUCAGCAUUUUGUCCUCUAGUCCCUGAAGACUAAUGGAUAGAUUGAGAGAAUUACACUUGGCUGCUGUUAGUAUGGUUGCAUUUAAUGUAGGUGAUGUGUGGCACUAGUCUGCAGGGUUCUGCUGUUGUGCCUAGAGUUUUGGAAAGCAGAAUUGCUAACUGCAGCUCUGCUGUGCUCCAGAAAGGCUCAAACUUCACACAGCUUGUGGGCAUGAGCACUGGCUUUGCUGGGAAAAGUGGUGGUUCUUCCAUGUAGUUCUUUCACCCCUGCCCUAUGUCUGCUCAGGGGAUAAAUUUUCUUGUUAUCUUCUGUGGGCAUGCUAAAGUAGGGAGGGUCUGACCAGAACUCAUGACAGUCAAUGGCAAAGGGAGCUCAGGUUUAAGGAGGUUGUACUGGUGCGUUUUGGUGCUCAUCAGCAGCAGCAGUAUGCUCCUCUCUUUCUCAGUCACUGAGAUGGCCAUGCCUGUUUCCCUGGAAAUAGCACUGAAGCUGAGGCCCUGCAGAUCAGCUCCUGUGUGCUCUGAUCUGAACCUGCCGACCCCAGCCAGAAUUCACCGUGCCAGAUCUUUGGUCACAUCACCUGACACCAGGCUCCUCAGAGCAUGUUAUGGGUCAUGUUGCCCUGAACUGUUCUUCUUACACCCACCUGCUGUCUUGAGCUCAUUUCCUUACAUUGAGAAAGUACCUGGGAAAGAAUUGACUCAGAAAAUAUUUAAAGAUGGAUUGGCUGCAAUGGUAAUCAAGAGAAGAAGACCAUAA
Molecule: long non-coding RNA, 780 nt
Filed under: Anas platyrhynchos platyrhynchos (common mallard)
Lineage: Eukaryota; Metazoa; Chordata; Aves; Anseriformes; Anatidae
Description: lncRNA (ENSAPLG00000018954.1)
Source: RNAcentral